UACGUAGGACCCAAGCGUUAUCCGGAGUGACUGGGCGUAAAGAGUUGCGUAGGUGGUUUAUUAAGCGAGUAGUGAAAUCUAACGGCUCAACCGUUAGGCUAUUGCUCGAACUGGUAAACUCGAGAAUGGUAGAGGUAACUGGAAUUUCUAGUGUAGGAGUGGAAUCCGUAGAUAUUAGAAGGAACACCAAUGGCGUAGGCAGGUUACUGGACCAUUUCUGACACUGAGGCACGAAAGCGUGGGGAGCGAACGGG
Molecule: ribosomal RNA, 254 nt
Filed under: uncultured bacterium
Lineage: Bacteria
Description: partial 16S ribosomal RNA
Rfam family: Bacterial small subunit ribosomal RNA
Source: RNAcentral